Molecule: non-coding RNA, 5464 nt
Organism: Microcebus murinus (gray mouse lemur)
Lineage: Eukaryota; Metazoa; Chordata; Mammalia; Primates; Cheirogaleidae
Source: RefSeq, a predicted model, not a curated record
UAAUAUUACUGUAUCUACUUAUUUGCUCUAUCCUUACAAUAUUCAUAUAAUAGUUUCAAAAUUAUAACACUAGCAUUACUAAUAACCAAUAAGAGUACUACAUAAAGUUUUAGGUGCCUUUGGAAGCCUUUUGUUCUUAGACUAUAUCCUACUAAAAGAUAGUCAAGAGUCCUAAUCAUCAAAAUUUGCUUGAAUCAAUUCUUUUCUCUGUGUAGUUAUUUUAUCAAUACAAAAUAUAGCAUCAUUUGUUUUUUAUUGUAUUCCAAUUAUAGAGUUUACUUAUUUCCAUCCCAUUUAAUUUAAUUUAAUUUCCAAAUAUAUAAGACAAUCAUAUGCUUCUACCCCCAUUUCUUCCAGCCCUACCUCCCCCUUGUAGGUUUUAUGAUUCUCCCUGUUCUUUUUGCAAAGACACACACACACAACACACACACACACACACACACACACACACACACACACACGUUUUCCUUUCUUUCUGGGCAAAGGAUAUUCUACUAUACAACUUCUUUGUAUCUUGCUUCUUUUAAUCAACAGUGUAUCCUAAAAGUUACUCCAAAUCCAUUCAUAGAGGUGCUCCUCAUUCUUUUUUCAUGUAUCACCAGAUAUUUCCAAAACAUAUUUACACAUAACAAGACUUCAGGAAACAAGAACCAGUAAGUACCUAACACUAUAAAUAGGAGAUUUUUAAGUUGGAAAUAGACUCAAGGAUGAAGGGGGCCAAGUCCUCCGGCUGUGUAAUUGCAUGAGCUGGGGCUCAGAAGGGUGACAUGACCCAGCCAGUGCAGUGGAUGCUGAAUUGUGCUGCCCAGGUCCCCCCCUGGGCACUAAAGGACUAAUCCCAGCUGCCACCUAUGCUGCUGGCACUCCCUGUGGUCACUGGUGCUGGGAGGAGCACCCUCUGCAAAGAUCCCGCCCCUCCCCCAGCCUGCAUCCAAAGCCAGCUGCUAUGGGGGCGUGUAAAGUCCAGUCACCUUGUCCCAAGUCACCUUGUCUCUCAAGGGCCACCCCAGCUCCAGAACCCCCCCUCCGCCCCCCUGGGGUUGGCUGAGCCCUGUGGUGACAGUGUCACAGCCCAAUAGAGCCUCCUUUCCCCCAUCCCUCUCCAUACUAUAACAAGGGGUGCAAAUGGAUAAAUAACCUUGACGAUUGGCCCAGGGAUGGACACAUGACCCAAUUCAAGCCAAUUUAGUCACUCCUCCUGUGACUCAACAUUAGAACAAAUGGGAAAAGGUCUUUUCCUCUCUGGUAGCAAAGCUCUGAGGACAAGAGCCUGGACACUGCUGGUAGCCACAUCCCCUGUGGAGUAGAGAAAGUUUUUAGGAAAAAGUAAAGCCAGCACAUAGUGAUCAAGAAAGAGAUCUGACGGGGUCUGAACUCCUACGCAUCAUGGUCUCUGAGUCCAGCUCCACCCUUGCCUCUUCCACAGUAUGAACUGAAAAAUAAUCACCCCUGGAGCAAGCUAAGUUACCUCCCCAAAAGAUGGAGACGAUGGUAAGUGGCAAUGGUUGUGACGCAAAAGGAACAUAGAAUCAGAAAAUAACACAUUACAACAAUAAGUCAAAAACUGCACAAACAGGCAAGGAGGGGGUAUCAGAUUAAGACGGUGGACAAUUUCUACUAUGUUCCACAGUUCAUUUGUGAGUUGUUAAAAAUGCAUCCUGUGGCUGGAGAACACUUCCUCCUCCCCACCUGACCCUCUGCCCUUCACCCACCAGCAACACCUGCGAUUCCAGAAAAGGCCAUGGUUUCUCCUCCGGAAGGGAAUGUGCUGGUUUCCCUUAGCUAAGCUUCCAACCCUACGAAUCUCUGCAAAUACAAUGUGGAGCAUGGGGGCAGGGUAGACUUUAUUUGUUAAAUACUGAUCUAGAAGGCUGUGAAAAGCUAGACGUUUCUAUGAUCUAUGUCACACAGAAUAGUGGCAUUUGAGUUAGCAGAAUGGCCUUAAAUUUGCUGUCUCCGUUAUUUGUCAGUUUCAUCAAACAGUCACCGCAUCUCCAAUUGCCCGCCUCAAGACUGGGAAGUGGAAGUUUGUAUUUUACAAACUACUCUUGACACUGCUUUCUCUUUCUUUUUUCUAGAAGGGGGAGAAAGGUGUUUGCCUAGCACUAAUACCAGAGGAAGAAUGCCUCUGCUUCAGUGGGGUUAAUAUGUAAAAUCAUUCCUCAUUUCAGGUUCUAGAGUCUUGUGCUCAUGCGAUGGACUCUACAUGUGACUUGUGACAGCCAACCUUCUAACCUUGUCACUUACACACACACACACACACACACACACACACACACACACACACACACAGAGUCUUACAAAGGUGCUGUUCAAAAAAUUUCCCACCAAAUCUUCCUCAUACUCAGGCCUAUGCAGUUUUUACACAUGUCCAGGAAGAAGCCGUCCUGCCUGGGUUCUUCCUGAACAAAGAGGUGCAACUCCAGCUGCUGGGGUCUGCAGUAAGGCCAUUUCCCCAGCGACGAGACCUUCAAAAUCCUCCAGGAUUGGCAAUGAAAUGUUGACUCUAGUGACUGCCAGGGGAUCAUAAAGAAACAGAAAACACCACUUUAACGCCACGCACUAGAUAAUAAUGUUAACUUUCCAAGUUUAAAUUUUCUGAGCUUCCAUUUCUGCAUCCAUAACAUGCAGAAAAAAUAAUACCUACCUCACAUGGUGUUUUGCUCAGGGAAUGUUGGUUAAGUGAAUCACUGAGCUGAUUAACUCGCUGAACAGAUGAGUCAGAGCUCUUGGUUGCAAGCAAUAGAAACUCAAUAUGACUGAUGGAAGCAGAAAGAAAAUCUACAGGCAGGGUACCAGGGGGCUCAGAGAACUGGCCAGAAAGCAGAAAAGGCAGCCCCAGAAUGGGGGUGGAACCCAGGUAGGAAGCACAGCCAAGGUCUUGCCAUAGGAGCAGUCAGGAGGCAGCUGCCCCCACCCCAACACCCUAAAACUGCCCACAGCAUGCACCCCACUGCUGCUGCGCCCUCCACUCACCUAAUGCAACUCUCCUGCAAAAGAAAAUAGAAAUUGGUCACAUUCCAUUUUUCUGGGUCUCCUAGCUUUAGCACCUAAUGUUUGAAAAAUGUGUGACUGUAGCAAUGCGAAGAAAUCAGUGCAAUUUAGAAAUGGCCGUUUCCUCCACAACCUGGGGAACUCGUUUAUUAGUUUCAAGUUUAAUUUAUACUUACUUCUGCCAAGGACUUAGGGCCUUUUACAGGUUAAAACUCAGUCAAAAAAAAAAAAAAAAAAAAAAAAGAAAAGAUGCAUGGGUGGAUAGGUAGAUAGAAAACCCAGUUUUUUAAAAAAAAACAGCUGAAGGAAAAUAUAUCUCAGGCAUUUGACUGAAGCAGAUGUGUGCAUUUAGACAAUGAAUUUAACCUUAAGCUAUCUGGCACCCAAGACUUGGAGGAAAAUGUGAUGUAUUACAUAAUAUAUAAUUUUAAUUUUCUUUUUCACACCAGAAUUUUAUCUACAGAGACAAAAUGUUUUCUGGCAAUUAUCUCAUCCAAAAAAGUUUUCCAUUUGGGUUUGAUGUGAAAGGUGUUGCAUGAGAUAGUAGACAGCAUCAUCAGUUAUGGUUUCACAAACACAGAGAGGAUAAACCUCAUGUGAAAUAUUUUCUGAAGGCAAACUGCAUCUCAGAAAUGUUUCUGCCAGGCAUGCUGCAGACGGAGCCCAGGUGCUUUGGCUUCUGAACUGCAGUUCUCUCCCAGGUACGACCCGGAGAAUCUGGAUGCUCACCCAGCAGAUGCCGUAGCGGGCCUCCCCUCUCCAAUACCAGGAUGUGAGCGCGAGGUUUUGGCAAGGCUGGGCCUCCACGGAUGUGGGAACAAAUCUAACACGUUCCUGCAGCGCUGCAGGUCCUCCUAGUCAGGUGCAGUGAUGGGGUAGGCCUUCCAUUCCAGACGGGAGGGGGCAGACUGGCAUUUUGUUCUGGAAUGUUUAAAGCCCUACGUGUGCUCUUGGCCAGACAGCGGCACGGGCCUCAGCAGCAGGAGCAGUAUCUACUCGUGGAAGAAAUUCCGAGGCUGCUCAAUCCUCAGGACACAAAUGGAGCCUCCGUGACCUGGGAGGCAGCCUUCCAGCCAGCCCCCACUUUAGUAUGAAAUCAACAUGAAGAUAAAAAUAAAAUUAGGUCGGUCAGAUGAAGUGGUGGCAUGGAAGUGGGCUUUCGAGAAAGGGAGGCCACGUCACCCUGUCUACACUGGCUGCGCUCUGCAAGAAAAGAAACCGGAUGCCCAGCGCAGAGGGACGUGGUCUCACACUCCAGUCUCCACCGCCUGAGCUGCUUCCUUAGGACUCGGCUCAUCACCUGGGGCCUUGGGAAUGCGUCCCUGUCGCCCCUCUGGGGCCCCAGAGUGCCGCUCAGUUCAGGACAGUGAAAAGCUGUGCCUCUCCUUGAAGAAGCGUCAGCCAGGCAGGCAGAGAGAUGCUAACGAGGUGUAGGUGUAUACGCUGCCCCCCGUUUGCUUUUUUUUUUAUUUAUGAGCACAAGGCAGAGGCAUGGGUGUGUGUGUGCAGAGGGUAGAGAAAAAGGACGAGGGGGUUCUUCUCACCGUGGAAUCAGAUUGUUGCUAAGACUGGGCCUGAAAGGUAAUUAUUUUGCUCACAUCAGAGGACCUAGGUGGGUAGGAAGAGGUCGCCCUUCUUCUCCCAUCCCCCACCCCUACUCUUUCCUUUCCCUUUAACACUGGCUUGUGGCUUGUUCCUUCUGUGACAACACUCCUGGGCUGGAUCCCAUCCCCACCUCCUAGGGCCCCAGGCUGCUUUCAUCCAGCCUGGAGGAAGAGAGGGGCUGGGGACAUUGUGGGGAGGCAGGGCUUGAGAGAGGUCUUGGCAAAGCUGUGAACUAGGGGGUUGAGAUGGGAAUUAGAUUUCCUCCCCAUACUUCAGGGAAACUCAGCCCCUAGGACUGAAGUGCAGGAUGCAGCCUGGGGCCAGGAAGAAACACCUGGAAUCUUUGUCUUCAAUUUGCAUGUGAUAACAAUGCCUCCCCUCCCCCCAACCACCGCCAGGCUAACAUCUGGAGAGCAGAGCACUCUUACACGAGGCAGCACCUUAUUUGCCUCUUGUAUCAACCUGGUGACAUAUAAUUAUUAACUUAAUUUGACAGUCCAGGAAAGCUAGCCCUAGGGAAGUGAAAUGAUUUUCCCCUAAGAAGUAGCAAAAUGCACCAAGCAGGGGGGCGAGUCUUUGCUGCCACAGCCCAUGAACUUUAGCAAUUAUUUCAGAUGCUGGAGAAUUAACAAAAUAAGAAGAAAAGAAAAGAAAAGAAAAUGUAAGAAAAAAGAAGAGAUUUACCUGUGUAAAAGCAAUCCCAAUUAAAUCCCCUGAUGCGAACUCCUAAUCCUUGUGCCUAAUAACUGUGGAACUCAGUGUGAUAAUGGACUUGAUGAACCGUGCCUGAUUAAUAAAUUUCUUACAAGUUUUAUUUGAUUAUUAUAAUCUAAUAAAAUCUACACACUUAUGAUAUUUUCACAAA